RNAcentral lists this ribosomal RNA (179 nucleotides) under uncultured Candida. Its description in RNAcentral is "partial 26S ribosomal RNA". It matches the Rfam family "Eukaryotic large subunit ribosomal RNA", at positions 30 to 225 of the family's 3401-position model. The record is from RNAcentral. Lineage: Eukaryota; Fungi; Ascomycota; Saccharomycetes; Saccharomycetales.
CAAUUGAAUCUCAAUUACCGGAGGAAAACAAACCAACGGGGAUUGCCUCAGUAACGGAGAGUGAAGCGGCAAAAGCUCAAAUUUGAAACCCUCGGGAUUGUAAUUUGAAGAUUGGGCAUUGGAGAAAGCUAACCUCAAGUUACUUGGAAUAGUACGUCAUAGAGGGUGACAACCCCGUC